GACGAACGCUGGCGGCGUGCUUAACACAUGCAAGUCGAACGGAAAGGCCCUGCUUUUGUGGGGUGCUCUAGUGGCGAACGGGUGAGUAACACGUGAGUAACCUGCCCUUGACUUUGGGAUAACUUCAGGAAACUGGGGCUAAUACCGGCUAGGAGCUCCUGCUUCAUGGUGGGGGUUGGAAAGUUUCGGCGGUUGGGGAUGGACUCGCGGCUUAUCAGCUUGUUGGUGGGGUAGUGGCUUACCAAGGCUUUGACGGGUAGCCGGCCCGAGAGGGUGACCGGCCACAUUGGGACUGAGAUACGGCCCAGACUCCUACGGGAGGCAGCAGUGGGGAAUAUUGCACAAUGGGCGGAAGCCUGAUGCAGCAACGCCGCGUGCGGGAUGACGGCCUUCGGGUUGUAAACCGCCUUCGCCUGUGACGAAGCGUGAGUGACGGUAAUGGGUAAAGAAGCACCGGCUAACUACGUG
Molecule: ribosomal RNA, 468 nt
Filed under: uncultured bacterium
Lineage: Bacteria
Description: partial 16S ribosomal RNA
Rfam family: Bacterial small subunit ribosomal RNA
Source: RNAcentral